UUUGCCUGCUUGUAGAACAUCUGUGAAGCAGCACUCAGAUCUGAACUCUUCUCAACUAGGCUGUCUAGUUUCUCACCUCGUGCGAGCACACUGUCAAUAGUUUUAUGAAGGAUAAUUUUUGUCUCAUCCAACUCCCUCUGAAUUUUCAAUAACUUAUCUGCCUCUGCAGGAUCUUGGAACUUGGUCAAUGCUUCAUUCAAAUAUGGCCA
This 209-nucleotide unclassified non-coding RNA is filed under the name Hevea brasiliensis (rubber tree). Lineage: Eukaryota; Viridiplantae; Streptophyta; Magnoliopsida; Malpighiales; Euphorbiaceae. The record is from RNAcentral.